UGGUAGCUCAAUGGUGGAGCACUCGGCUGUUAACCGAUAGGUUGGAGGUUCGAAUCCUCUC
This 61-nucleotide transfer RNA is filed under the name Clostridium septicum. It matches the Rfam family "tRNA", at positions 7 to 64 of the family's 71-position model. From Rfam's summary of the family: Transfer RNA (tRNA) molecules are approximately 80 nucleotides in length. Their secondary structure includes four short double-helical elements and three loops (D, anti-codon, and T loops). Further hydrogen bonds mediate the characteristic L-shaped molecular structure. tRNAs have two regions of fundamental functional importance: the anti-codon, which is responsible for specific mRNA codon recognition, and the 3' end, to which the tRNAs corresponding amino acid is attached (by aminoacyl-tRNA synthetases). tRNAs cope with the degeneracy of the genetic code in two manners: having more than one tRNA (with a specific anti-codon) for a particular amino acid; and 'wobble' base-pairing, i.e. permitting non-standard base-pairing at the 3rd anti-codon position. Lineage: Bacteria; Bacillati; Bacillota; Clostridia; Eubacteriales; Clostridiaceae. RNAcentral also lists the same sequence under 2 other names. The record is from RNAcentral.